Long non-coding RNA from Gallus gallus (chicken), 1937 nucleotides. The record is from Ensembl. NCBI's taxonomy places the organism in Eukaryota, Metazoa, Chordata, Aves, Galliformes, Phasianidae.
GAGAUCUCCAAAAGAUGUGCGGGCAGGUGGGAUGGGCCGUGCCGUGUCCCCAUGUCCAUGUCCUCCUGCUGCUGGUGUUUGGUGAGUUGGGGCUGCUUUGGGUAGCAGGGAACCCUGCUUGGAGGAAGAAGCCCAGCACAAAGAGGCUUGAGGUGGUGCCGAGGGUGGAGGUAGAGUACAUGUGGGAUGGAGUCUUGCACCAAAAGCAUGAUUUUGGAAGUAGAGGAGACUGCAUCUGGAAAAGAAAACCCAUUCCAAAAUGGAUUUAGGCUUGCUCAAAUGGAGACAGUGGCGACAAAGGAAGGGGAUACACUUGUGGAGUGGUGACUGCUGAAGACUGGAGACAUGGACAGAAACAUGUGGGUGUGCAGGACACUGUCCCUCUAACCAAACCCCUCUCUGCUCCACGGUGCAGGUACUGCUGUGAGCACCCAGGACAUCUGCAGUUCCACAGCUGGUGGUGAGUGUGAGCAUGGGUCCAGAAAUUGAAGACAUGGUGGGGGAGGAGAUGGAAAGAGAGAAAGGCUUUAUUGCCUCUGAAUUCCCAAAAUCCACCCCAAGACGGCAGAUUCUCCAUGACUAGAAAUGCAGUGUGUUUUGCAACUAAUGAUGCUGGUGGAAUCCCUGUGCCAUCUCUCCAGGUACUCUCCAGGCUCCACUCCUGGUCCUUAACGCUUCCAGAGCUCAGGAAGGGGAAAUCGUCCUGGCUCAAUGUGUCCUUCAGAAGAUGGUUCCUGCUGUGCGAAUUGUCUUCUGCAAGGAUGGGAUGGAGUUUUACAGCAUGAAAGCCCAACAGCAUACGGUCAUCAACUCCAUGCUGCUGAACAUCUCUGCAAGAAGCAGUGGGACAUACACGUGUGCGUACCAGCAGAGGAAUGAAGAAAAGUCACUGGAAAAGUCUACCCUCAGCGCUCCGUUGGACCUGCAGGUCACAGGUGGGACUUGACACCAGGGUGGUGGGGACAUAGGGGAUGGGGAGUAAUUAACACCACAUGGAUAUCCCUUGUGCAGCAAGAGAUGCCAAUAGAGAGAGGAUGGCUCUGGAAGGGUUCCUGUCUCAAUCUUAUGCUGCAGAAAUCAGGCUCUGCAGUACAUAAAGGUACAUAAAGCAGGUACAUAAAGCAGGCACAGGGUUUGGGCGUGGUCCCUUUCCUGGGUAAGGAUGCUCCUAGGGUUAUUCCAAAAAUGUUUCGAGAAUGCGGAAGGGAAACUGGGAUGAUUUCCAGGUGUGAGGUUGCUCCUUUUUGUUUGAUUUCCGAGGCUGCAACGAGAUGAUGCUGUGGCCAUAGUGUGAGGAUGGGCAUAUGUUGGUGUGCUUAGUAUUUGUGUUGCCUCUUCUUGCAUCAAAGCUACCAAAAAGAGCCUUUGGAUGGUGGCAGGAGGGGAAAUGCAGGAUGGAGUCUUGCAAGUGGGACGCUGCCAUCCCAUCCCAUAGAGGCAGAGCAACAUACUAGUCCUUUCUUUAUCCCCAAGGUCAAAGAAAGGAGAGUUGUGCUGCAGUAUCAUACGGUGCACAGUUGCAUUUAUGCCAUGCAUUUCUAAAUUCAUCAUAGUUUAGAUAAUUGAUCAUCAGAAUGGCAGAAACCCCAUGUCAGCCCACGUGUCUCAGGGGACAGAGCUGGCUCUGUGGGCAUCUUCCAAGGCCUACAUACCCUGCCCCGUACCAGUGCAUUCAGAAAAUCUGACCAUGCAGAGCUAUGAGCACUGGUGACACUCCGCCCAUCCAUAUGUCUGUCCAGGUCAUGUGUCCGAUUCCUCAGCAGGAACCAUAACUGCAGGUGAGGGACUCUCCUUUGCUCCUACUGACCCCAUCCCUUCACCUUUUCCCUAUCCCUCUCCUCUUUUCCCAUCUCAUCUCUAUGGCGCUGUAACACCCCAACUUCUGCGUCACUCCCAUCUGACCCCAUCAACCUCUGUGUCCCCAGACACCAACACUC